RNAcentral lists this ribosomal RNA (254 nucleotides) under uncultured bacterium. RNAcentral describes it as "partial 16S ribosomal RNA". It matches the Rfam family "Bacterial small subunit ribosomal RNA", at positions 524 to 776 of the family's 1533-position model. The record is from RNAcentral.
UACGGGGGGAGCAAGUGUUGUUCGGAUUUACUGGGCGUAAAGGGCGCGUAGGCGGCCACCGCAAGUCGACUGUGAAAUCUCCGGGCUUAACCCGGAAAGGUCAGCCGAUACUGCGGGGCUAGAGUGCAGAAGGGGCAACUGGAAUUCUCGGUGUAGCGGUGAAAUGCGUAGAUAUCGAGAGGAACACCUGCGGCGAAGGCGGGUUGCUGGGCUGACACUGACGCUGAGGCGCGAAAGCUAGGGGAGCGAACGGG